This 313-nucleotide small RNA is filed under the name Arabidopsis thaliana (thale cress). Its description in RNAcentral is "ATSL037520". Lineage: Eukaryota; Viridiplantae; Streptophyta; Magnoliopsida; Brassicales; Brassicaceae. The record is from RNAcentral.
UAAAACCUAAACCCUAAACCCUAAACCCUAAACCCUAAACUCUUAACCCUAACCCUUAAACCUAAACCCAAAACCAUAGUCCCCAAACUUUAUAACCAAAAUCCUACUUUAGCUUCUGGAAGCUGGUUGCGGUUCUAGUUCUUAUGCUCAACGAUACACAAAGCAUCUAGUAAUAUUUGGCUAUAAAUCCGCUAAUAAAGCCACUUCUUGAUUCUCAAAGCUUUGAUGGUGAAGUCAAAGAUCUUAUGAGUUUUUAGUCUUGACUCGUAUAACAAGGAAGCACUACUUUACUUUUCGGGAUCUUGUUGAGGUU